Molecule: ribosomal RNA, 421 nt
Filed under: uncultured bacterium
Lineage: Bacteria
Description: bacterial SSU rRNA
Rfam family: Bacterial small subunit ribosomal RNA
Source: RNAcentral
UAAGGAAUAUUGGUCAAUGGACGCAAGUCUGAACCAGCCAUGCCGCGUGAAGGAUGAAGGUCCUCUGGAUUGUAAACUUCUUUUAUCUGGGACGAAAACGGGAUUUUUAUCUCAAUUGACGGUACCAGAGGAAUAAGCACCGGCUAACUCCGUGCCAGCAGCCGCGGUAAUACGGAGGGUGCGAGCGUUAUCCGGAUUUACUGGGUUUAAAGGGUGCGUAGGUGGGCUUAUAAGUCAGUGGUGAAAUCUCCGAGCUUAACUUGGAAACUGCCGUUGAUACUAUAGGUCUUGAAUUAUCUGGAGGUAAGCGGAAUAUGUCAUGUAGCGGUGAAAUGCUUAGAUAUGACAUAGAACACCAAUUGCGAAGGCAGCUUACUACAUAUAAAUUGACACUGAGGCACGAAAGCGUGGGUAGCGAACA